Molecule: ribosomal RNA, 248 nt
Filed under: uncultured bacterium
Lineage: Bacteria
Description: partial 16S ribosomal RNA
Rfam family: Bacterial small subunit ribosomal RNA
Source: RNAcentral
UACGUAGGUGGCAAGCGUUGUCCGGAUUUAUUGGGUUUAAAGGGUGCGUAGGCGGUUUUUUAAGUCAGUGGUGAAAUACGGCAGCUCAACUGUCGAGGUGCCAUUGAUACUGGGAAACUUGAGUACUGAUGAGGUAGGCGGAAUGGACGGUGUAGCGGUGAAAUGCUUAGAUAUCGUCCAGAACACCGAUAGCGAAGGCAGCUUCUAAGGAGUAACUGACGCUGAGGCACGAAAGUGUGGGGAUCAAA